UACGUAGGGUGCGAGCGUUGUCCGGAAUUAUUGGGCGUAAAGAGCGCGCAGGUGGUUGAUUAAGUCUGAUGUGAAAGCCCACGGCUUAACCGUGGAGGGUCAUUGGAAACUGGUCAACUUGAGUGCAGAAGAGGGAAGUGGGAUUCCAUGUGUAGCGGUGAAAUGCGUAGAGAUAUGGAGGAACACCAGUGGCGAAGGCGGCUUCCUGGUCUGUAACUGACACUGAGGCGCGAAAGCGUGGGGAGCAAACAGGAUUAGAUA
This 261-nucleotide ribosomal RNA is filed under the name uncultured prokaryote. RNAcentral describes it as "partial 16S ribosomal RNA". It matches the Rfam family "Bacterial small subunit ribosomal RNA", at positions 524 to 784 of the family's 1533-position model. The record is from RNAcentral.